UGCGUAGGCGGACUUGUGCGUCAGAGGUAAAAUGUCACGGCUCAACCGUGAACCUGCCUUUGAUACGGCAAGCCUGGAGUGCGGGAGAGGAUGGUAGAAUUCCUGGUGUAGCGGUGAAAUGCGUAGAUAUCAGGAGGAAUACCAGUGGCGAAGGCGGCCAUCUGGCCCGCAACUGACGCUGAGGCACGAAAGCGUGGGAGCGAACAGGAUUAGAUACCCUGGUAGUCCACGCCCUAAACGAUGUAUGCUUGGUGUUGGGAGCUUUGCUCUCAGUGCCGGAGGUAACCCGUUAAGCAUACCACCUGGGGAGUACGAUCGCAAGGUUGAA
RNAcentral lists this ribosomal RNA (328 nucleotides) under uncultured bacterium. Its description in RNAcentral is "bacterial SSU rRNA". It matches the Rfam family "Bacterial small subunit ribosomal RNA", at positions 568 to 898 of the family's 1533-position model. The record is from RNAcentral.